Molecule: ribosomal RNA, 293 nt
Filed under: uncultured bacterium
Lineage: Bacteria
Also listed under: 2 other names
Description: partial 16S ribosomal RNA
Source: RNAcentral
GGACUACAAGGGUUUCUAAUCCCGUUUGCUCCCCUGGCUUUCGCGCCUCAGCGUCAGAAAAGGACCAGUCAUGCGCUUUCGCCACCGGCGUUCCUGUCGAUAUCAACGCAUUUCACCGCUCCACCGACAGUUCCCAUGACCCCUUCCUUCCUCGAGCCGCAGUGGUAUCAAGGGCAGUUCUCCAGUUAAGCUGGAGGAUUUCACCCGUGACCCGCUCGGCCGCCUACGCGCCCUUUAAGCCCAGUGAUUCCGAAUAACGUUUGGACGGUUCGUCUUACCGCGGCUGCUGGCAC